RNAcentral lists this ribosomal RNA (1063 nucleotides) under uncultured Aquaspirillum sp. RNAcentral's name for it is "bacterial SSU rRNA". It matches the Rfam family "Bacterial small subunit ribosomal RNA", at positions 8 to 1064 of the family's 1533-position model. Lineage: Bacteria; Pseudomonadati; Pseudomonadota; Betaproteobacteria; Neisseriales; Aquaspirillaceae. The record is from RNAcentral.
AGAGUUUGAUCCUGGCUCAGAUUGAACGCUGGCGGCAUGCCUUACACAUGCAAGUCGAACGGCAGCACGGAGCUUGCUCUGGUGGCGAGUGGCGAACGGGUGAGUAAUAUAUCGGAACGUACCCUAGAGUGGGGGAUAACGUAGCGAAAGUUACGCUAAUACCGCAUACGAUCUACGGAUGAAAGUGGGGGAUCGCAAGACCUCAUGCUCAUGGAGCGGCCGAUAUCUGAUUAGCUAGUUGGUAGGGUAAAAGCCUACCAAGGCAUCGAUCAGUAGCUGGUCUGAGAGGACGACCAGCCACACUGGAACUGAGACACGGUCCAGACUCCUACGGGAGGCAGCAGUGGGGAAUUUUGGACAAUGGGCGAAAGCCUGAUCCAGCAAUGCCGCGUGAGUGAAGAAGGCCUUCGGGUUGUAAAGCUCUUUUGUCAGGGAAGAAACGGUUGUCUCUAAUACAGAUAGCUAAUGACGGUACCUGAAGAAUAAGCACCGGCUAACUACGUGCCAGCAGCCGCGGUAAUACGUAGGGUGCAAGCGUUAAUCGGAAUUACUGGGCGUAAAGCGUGCGCAGGCGGGUUAUGUAAGACAGAUGUGAAAUGCCCGGGCUUAACCUGGGAACUGCAUUUGUGACUGCAUGGCUAGAGUUUGGCAGAGGGGGGUAGAAUUCCACGUGUAGCAGUGAAAUGCGUAGAUAUGUGGAGGAACACCGAUGGCGAAGGCAGCCCCCUGGGUCAAGACUGACGCUCAUGCACGAAAGCGUGGGGAGCAAACAGGAUUAGAUACCCUGGUAGUCCACGCCCUAAACGAUGUCUACUAGUUGUCGGGCCUUAAUUGACUUGGUAACGCAGCUAACGCGUGAAGUAGACCGCCUGGGGAGUACGGUCGCAAGAUUAAAACUCAAAGGAAUUGACGGGGACCCGCACAAGCGGUGGAUGAUGUGGAUUAAUUCGAUGCAACGCGAAAAACCUUACCUACCCUUGACAUGGCUGGAAUCCCUGAGAGAUUGGGGAGUGCUCGAAAGAGAACCAGUACACAGGUGCUGCAUGGCUGUCGUCAGCUCGUG